GAUGAACGCUGGCGGCGUGCCUAAUACAUGCAAGUCGAGCGAACGGACGAGAAGCUUGCUUCUCUGAUGUUAGCGGCGGACGGGUGAGUAACACGUGGAUAACCUACCUAUACGACUGGGAUAACUUCGGGAAACCGGAGCUAAUAACGGCUAAUAUUUUGAACCGCAUGGUUCAAAAGUGAAAGACGGUCUUGCUGUCACUUAUAGAUGGAUCCGAGCUGCAUUAGCUAGUUGGUAAGGUAACGGCUUACCAAGGCAACGAUGCAUAGCCGACCUGAGAGGGUGAUCGGCCAGACUGGAACUGAGACACGGUCCAGACUCCUACGGGAGGCAGCAGUAGGGAAUCUUCCGCAAUGGGCGAAAGCCUGACGGAGCAACGCCGCGUGAGUGAUGAAGGUCUGCGGAUCGGAAAACUCUGUUAUUAGGGAAGAACAUAUGUGUAAGUAACUGUGCACAUCUUGACGGUACCUAAUCAGAAAGCCACGGCUAACUACGUG
RNAcentral lists this ribosomal RNA (497 nucleotides) under uncultured bacterium. RNAcentral describes it as "partial 16S ribosomal RNA". It matches the Rfam family "Bacterial small subunit ribosomal RNA", at positions 28 to 507 of the family's 1533-position model. The record is from RNAcentral.